GUAGGUGAACCUGCGGAAGGAUCAUUACAAGUGAGGCUACCGAACGCUGGAAACGGCGGUUAGGAGCUUACACCCACCCGUGUUUACAUACUAUUGUUGCUUUGGCGGGCCGUGGCCUCCACUGCGCCCGCCAGAGGACCAAACUCUGAAUGUUAGUGAUGUCUGAGUACUAUCUAAUAGUUAAAACUUUCAACAACGGAUCUCUUGGUUCUG
RNAcentral lists this unclassified non-coding RNA (213 nucleotides) under rhizosphere metagenome. RNAcentral's name for it is "partial ribosomal RNA internal transcribed spacer region". The record is from RNAcentral.